RNAcentral lists this ribosomal RNA (1160 nucleotides) under human gut metagenome. RNAcentral describes it as "bacterial LSU rRNA". It matches the Rfam family "Bacterial large subunit ribosomal RNA", at positions 839 to 1980 of the family's 2925-position model. The record is from RNAcentral.
GCUGAGAUAGCUGGUUCUCCCCGAAAUAGCUUUAGGGCUAGCCUGAGGUAGUAAGUAUAGGCGGUAGAGCACUGAUCGGGCUAGGGGCCGUAAAGGUUACCGAACCCUGUCAAACUCCGAAUGGAUAUACUGUAGAGCCUUGGAGUCAGACUACGAGUGAUAAGAUCCGUGGUCAAAAGGGAAACAGCCCAGACCACCAGCUAAGGUCCCCAAUGUCGUACUAAGUGGAAAAGGAUGUGGGGUUUCAUAAACAACCAGGAUGUUGGCUCAGAAGCAGCCACCAUUUAAAGAGUGCGUAAUAGCUCACUGGUCGAGAGACCCUGCGCCGAAGAUUCCCGGGGCUAAAGUACGAAACCGAAGCUGUGGCUGUAUACGUAAAGUAUACGGGGUAGGGGAGCGUUCCCAUAGGGUAGAAGUCGAACUGGAAGGUUCGGUGGACUUGUGGGAAGUGAGAAUGUUGGUAUGAGUAGCGAAAAGAAAGGUGAGAAUCCUUUCCACCGAAAGCAUAAGGAUUCCUGAGCAACGAUCGUCGUCUCAGGGUAAGUCGGGACCUAAUCCGAGGCAGAGAGCGUAGGAGAUGGACAACUGGUUGAUAUUCCAGUACCGGUAGUAAUUGUUUGAGCAAUGGAGUGACACAGAAGGGCAGGCAAGCAUGCGAAUGGAAGAGCAUGUGUAAGCGUGUAGGGUGGUGCAUAGGCAAAUCCGUGCACUGAAAGCCUGAGGCGUGAUGCGGAGUGAGCAGAGAUGCGAGCGAAGUUGUUGACCCCACACUGUCGAGAAAAGCUUCUAGUGAGAGAGCUACCGCCCGUACCGUAAACCGACACAGGUAUGCGGGGAGAGAAUCCUAAGGUGCGCGGGAGAACCCUCGUUAAGGAACUCGGCAAAAUGUACCCGUAACUUCGGGAUAAGGGUAGCCACUGUUGUGAAGUCCCAUGCGGAUGGAGCAUAGAGUGGUCGCAGAGAAGAGGCCCAAGCGACUGUUUACCAUAAACACAGGUGCCUGCUAAAGCGAAAGCUGACGUAUAGGUGCUGACACCUGCCCAGUGCCGGAAGGUUAAGGAAGGAUGUUCGGAUUAGUCCAAAGCAUUCGACUGAAGCCCCGGUGAACGGCGGCCGUAACUAUAACGGUCCUAAGGUAGCGAAAUUCCUUGUCGGGUAAG